RNAcentral lists this ribosomal RNA (435 nucleotides) under uncultured bacterium. RNAcentral describes it as "partial 16S ribosomal RNA". It matches the Rfam family "Bacterial small subunit ribosomal RNA", at positions 29 to 507 of the family's 1533-position model. The record is from RNAcentral.
AACGAACGCUGGCGGCAUGCCUAACACAUGCAAGUCGAACGGGUACCUUCGGGUGCUAGUGGCGCACGGGUGCGUAACGCGUGGGAAUCUGCCCUUGGGUUCGGAAUAACUCAGCGAAAGCUGUGCUAAUACCGGAUGAUGUCGAAAGACCAAAGAUUUAUCGCCCGAGGAUGCGCCCGCGUUGGAUUAGCUAGUUGGUGGGGUAAAGGCCUACCAAGGCGACGAUCCAUAGCUGGUCUGAGAGGAUGAUCAGCCACACUGGGACUGAGACACGGCCCAGACUCCUACGGGAGGCAGCAGUGGGGAAUAUUGGACAAUGGGCGAAAGCCUGAUCCAGCAAUGCCGCGUGAGUGAUGAAGGCCUUAGGGUUGUAAAGCUCUUUUACCCGGGAUGAUAAUGACAGUACCGGGAGAAUAAGCUCCGGCUAACUCCGUG